RNAcentral lists this long non-coding RNA (525 nucleotides) under Pan troglodytes (chimpanzee). RNAcentral's name for it is "long non-coding RNA NONPTRT006838". The record is from RNAcentral. Lineage: Eukaryota; Metazoa; Chordata; Mammalia; Primates; Hominidae.
AGGAGUAUGACAAGCAGGACAUUCAGUGAGCUCUUGGGACGGGGUGGCCAGAACGAAGAGGUGGUGGGAGUGGAGGGGUCUUAGAAUAAGUCCAAAGGCCUGGGCCAGUCCACUUCCUCUCUGCAGGCUGGUGGCCGCGCUCUCUGUCACCCUGGGCCUCUUUGCAGUGGAGCUGGCCGGUUUCCUCUCAGGAGUCUCCAUGUUCAACAGCACCCAGAGCCUCAUCUCCAUUGGGGCUCACUGUAGUGCAUCCGUGGCCCUGUCCUUCUUCAUAUUCGAGCGUUGGGAGUGCACUACGUAUUGUGCCCUUCCAGCUGUCACUGAAAUGGCUUUAUUCGUCACCGUCUUUGGGCUGAAAAAGAAACCCUUCUGAUUACCUUCAUGACGGGAACCUAAGGACGAAGGCUACAGGGGCAAGGGCCGCUUCGUAUUCCUGGAAGAAGGAAGGCAUAGGCUUCGGUUUUCCCCUCGGAAACUGCUUCUGCUGGAGGAUAUGUGUUGGAAUAAUUACGUCUUGAGUCUGGG